CUCGUACAUCAUAAACAAAUUCAUAAAAAGUUUGCCGUUUGCUCUUCCUCUGUGGUGGCUGCUGCUGCCCCAUUCGCGUUGCACUUCAAACUCCACAGUUUAUGGCGUUGAAAGGCGCAUCGAAUGGCUUCGGUCCUGUCCCUCUCUCUCUCUCUCUCUAUCUCUCUCUGGCUCGUUCUGCUCCAAAGGUGAGGUUUUGGUCUGCAGUUUGAUUUUUGCUAGUAGAACAAUACCCCGCAGCCCGCGGUCUGCUAACCGCUGACCACUCUGCAAGCCAACUCAACCCCUGGAGUUGGACUCAUUAAAAUGUAAUUUGAACGCGUUGCUUCGCAUUUCAUUUGAAUGGAGACUCGGAGACGGACCUGCCCUGGAGUCGAUGUAAGUUAGAGACGGUCAAGUGAGCAAAUGCCACUCGGAGUGGAGUCAGUUUCCAUUUCAUUGAGCGCGAAACAACCCUCGACCCGAGACUAGACUUCUGACCAACUCUCCUUCUGGCUCGCUCUCAUUCGCUGUCCUUUUCUGGCCCGGAGUUUGAUUGAUUCCCGUCCCGGCUGUUGCCUUCUCCUUCUCGUGAGGGUUCAGUCAUUUGUGGCACAUUAUUAUUUGAAUGAUAAAUUGUAUUUGGUCGGGAACUUUGUUCAUUGCUUUGCAUUUCCCUUUAUAGCCGGGACCUCCAUUCCUGCCAGACCCGUCUCCGCCUUUAGUUUCGUGGGUGUUUCCGUGUUGCG
RNAcentral lists this long non-coding RNA (728 nucleotides) under Drosophila guanche. The record is from RNAcentral. Lineage: Eukaryota; Metazoa; Arthropoda; Insecta; Diptera; Drosophilidae.